Molecule: ribosomal RNA, 253 nt
Filed under: uncultured microorganism
Description: partial 16S ribosomal RNA
Rfam family: Bacterial small subunit ribosomal RNA
Source: RNAcentral
UACGGAGGGUGCAAGCGUUAAUCGGAAUUACUGGGCGUAAAGCGUACGUAGGCGGCUUGUUAAGCAAGAUGUGAAAUCCCCGGGCUCAACCUGGGAAUGGCAUUUUGAACUGGCAGGCUCGAGUUCUGAAGAGGGUGGUAGAAUUUCCAGUGUAGCGGUGAAAUGCGUAGAUAUUGGAAGGAAUACCGGUGGCGAAGGCGGCCACCUGGGCUAAUACUGACACUGAGGUGCGAAAGCGUGGGGAGCAAACAGG